CUAGCAGUCUAUAGCAGCCUAAAAAUGCUGGAUCAGGUGGCAGGUGGGAACUCCAAAGCUAAGCAGGGUAGGGCCUGGUUACUACCUGAAAGGGAUAACUCCUGGA
Molecule: ribosomal RNA, 106 nt
Filed under: Carlito syrichta (Philippine tarsier)
Lineage: Eukaryota; Metazoa; Chordata; Mammalia; Primates; Tarsiidae
Source: RNAcentral